AACGCGAAGUAGAUCGCAGUGUGUUCUUGGAGAUAAUCCGAGGCUAGAACCAUUAGUCCAAAUGGUCCAAUUGCUUCUCUUGAUGCGGUGGUACGACCAAGGCAUGAGUGAAGGUGACCUCGAUGUCCAGCUAAAACAACGCACGAGAAGCUGAAAGAAAUGAAGAGAAAACAGGAGGAACACUAAAAGGUUGAGCCUAGGAACCUGAAACUUCUUUCUGCCGCUAUGUAUCUCCUGCAACGCGCCACCUUGAAGCUUGCGCCAGAUUUGUCUCGGGAGUGCCUGACACAACUUCAGAUCAACAAGAGGUUCUCACAAACAGUUUCUUCCACAUACCUGGACGCCGGCCCAGCCUUUGGCUAUGUCAGCCUCAAC
Long non-coding RNA from Selaginella moellendorffii, 375 nucleotides. RefSeq lists it as uncharacterized. The transcript is spliced from 3 exons. The record is from RefSeq and is a predicted model, not a curated record. NCBI's taxonomy places the organism in Eukaryota, Viridiplantae, Streptophyta, Lycopodiopsida, Selaginellales, Selaginellaceae.